GUAAUAUGUCUCCCUGCCCACCAGGAUGCCAAAUUACACGUGGUGUGAAGCAUAUGCACCAUCCUCAGCAGCACGUACACCACCAGCCCCAAGUAAAUGAACCUCCAUAUGGUAGCAGAGAUAUGCCCAUAAGUGAUGCUAUUCCAAUAUCACCUGGUUUGCUGGAGCCUGCAAAGUCCAGGAGGACAAAACGAACCAAGGAUCCGAAGGCAGUAACAUCAACUAAGAAGGCUUCAAAGUCAUCGAAGAAGGUUAAAAGGGAGGGUGAGGACCUCAACAAAACAAUGUUUGGCAAGUCACAUGAGUGGAAGCCUGGGCAGGAAGUGGGUAGUGGCACUGAUGACCUGAACAGACAACUAGGUGUCUCGAAGCCAGACUGGAAGGAUCAGGACCUGGGUUUGAACCAGGUUGCUUUUGACGAGUCAACCAUGCCAGUGCCUGUGUGCUCCUGCACAGGAGUUCUCAGGCCAUGCUACAAGUGGGGAAAUGGAGGCUGGCAAUCAUCUUGUUGUACCACCAAUUUGUCUA
RNAcentral lists this long non-coding RNA (528 nucleotides) under Coffea arabica (coffee). RNAcentral's name for it is "long non-coding RNA (CARA_LNC006995)". The record is from RNAcentral. Lineage: Eukaryota; Viridiplantae; Streptophyta; Magnoliopsida; Gentianales; Rubiaceae.